AACGCAUCUUGCGCUCCUUGGUAUUCCGAGGAGCAUGCCUGUUUGAGUGUCAUUUAAGUUCUCAACCACAUUGAUUGUUUUUGGUGUGGCUUGGAUUUGGGGGUUUUUUUUUGCAGGCUUUGGAAAUGAAGUCUGCUCCCCUGAAAUGCAUUAGUAGUAUCUGAGCAGAAAAAACUACUACAGGUGUGAUAAUUUAUCUAUGCCUUGGUAAAAUGCUGCAUGAACAGAUUGCACUGCUUAUAACGAGUGAGAAACCCCUUUCCUUGGGGGUGCCACAUUUCGAUGAAUUUGACCUCAAAUCAGGUAGGACUACCCGCUGAACUUAA
Molecule: unclassified non-coding RNA, 326 nt
Filed under: uncultured fungus
Lineage: Eukaryota; Fungi
Description: sequence contains ITS2
Rfam family: 5.8S ribosomal RNA (bases 1-52)
Source: RNAcentral